This 483-nucleotide ribosomal RNA is filed under the name Triticum aestivum (bread wheat). Its description in RNAcentral is "partial small subunit ribosomal RNA". The record is from RNAcentral. Lineage: Eukaryota; Viridiplantae; Streptophyta; Magnoliopsida; Poales; Poaceae.
AUGGGGAGUAGGCUGCUCUUGGUGCUCGACCGGGCGCUCACCGACGAGCAAGACUAUCACGAGCGCGCCCAGGUGCAGCACAAGGGCAUGGAGGCGGACGUCCUGCUGCUGCCUUGGUCUCCACCCCAUCGUCGUUGCCUUUCCCCUUCCUCCUCUGGCCCUGAGACAUCUUGUUGUUGUGUCCACCACGUCCGGUCUUCGUCCGGCCAUCCAAUCUCCUCCUUCCCUAUGAGAUUUUGUACGAAGGAGAGAAGUCGAACCAUGGCGAAGAUAAAGGCGGCCGCUAAGCCACCCCCUAGGAACCGGAUGCACAAAUGCGAUACGGUCUUUUCCUGCCUAUUCUGCAGUCAUGGGAGCAGCGCUGAAUGUCGGAUGAUAGUACCAUCUUCACGUAUUUUUACUGUUAGUUGGUUUAUACUAGAUGGUUAUCUAUCCAUUCAACAUUGUAACAUGCCUUCAUUUUUCUUCAAUGAUACAAAUUAA